RNAcentral lists this ribosomal RNA (652 nucleotides) under Pseudoalteromonas sp. Its description in RNAcentral is "bacterial SSU rRNA". It matches the Rfam family "Bacterial small subunit ribosomal RNA", at positions 61 to 710 of the family's 1533-position model. Lineage: Bacteria; Pseudomonadati; Pseudomonadota; Gammaproteobacteria; Alteromonadales; Pseudoalteromonadaceae. The record is from RNAcentral.
GUCGAGCGGAAACGAUUCUAGUUUACUAGAAGGCGUCGAGCGGCGGACGGGUGAGUAAUGCUUGGGAACAUGCCUUUAGGUGGGGGACAACCAUUGGAAACGAUGGCUAAUACCGCAUAAUGUCUACGGACCAAAGGGGGCUUCGGCUCUCGCCUUUAGAUUGGCCCAAGUGGGAUUAGCUAGUUGGUGAGGUAAUGGCUCACCAAGGCGACGAUCCCUAGCUGGUUUGAGAGGAUGAUCAGCCACACUGGAACUGAGACACGGUCCAGACUCCUACGGGAGGCAGCAGUGGGGAAUAUUGCACAAUGGGCGCAAGCCUGAUGCAGCCAUGCCGCGUGUGUGAAGAAGGCCUUCGGGUUGUAAAGCACUUUCAGUUGUGAGGAAAGGUUAGUAGUUAAUACCUGCUAGCUGUGACGUUAGCAACAGAAGAAGCACCGGCUAACUCCGUGCCAGCAGCCGCGGUAAUACGGAGGGUGCGAGCGUUAAUCGGAAUUACUGGGCGUAAAGCGUACGCAGGCGGUUUGUUAAGCGAGAUGUGAAAGCCCCGGGCUCAACCUGGGAACUGCAUUUCGAACUGGCAAACUAGAGUGUGAUAGAGGGUGGUAGAAUUUCAGGUGUAGCGGUGAAAUGCGUAGAGAUCUGAAGGAAUACC